GACGAACGCUGGCGGCGUGCUUAACACAUGCAAGUCGAACGGUGAAGCGCCUUCCUUUUUGGUGGGUGUGGAUGAGUGGCGAACGGGUGAGUAACACGUGAGUAACCUGGCCCAUUAUUUUGGAUAACCGCAUGAAAGUGUGGGUAAUACGGGAUAUUCUGGGUCUGUCGCAUGAUGGGUCUGGGAAAGAUAUUGUUGCGGUGGGGGAUGGGGACGCGGCCUAUCAGCUUGUUGGUGCGGUGAUGGCCUACCAAGGCGGUGAGGGGUAGCCGGCCUGAGAGGGUGGACGUUCACACGUGGACUGAGACACGGGCCAGACUACUAGCGGAGGCAGCAGUGUGUAAUAUUGCACAAUGGGCGCAAGCCUGAUGCAGCGACGCCGCGUGAGGGAUGGAGGCCUUCGGGUUGUGAACCUCUUUCGACAGUGAAGCAGUCCUGCCUCGUUUGUGGGUGGGUUGACGGUAGCUGGAUAAUAAGCGCCGGCUAACUACGUG
This 494-nucleotide ribosomal RNA is filed under the name uncultured bacterium. Its description in RNAcentral is "partial 16S ribosomal RNA". It matches the Rfam family "Bacterial small subunit ribosomal RNA", at positions 28 to 507 of the family's 1533-position model. The record is from RNAcentral.